RNAcentral lists this transfer RNA (73 nucleotides) under Felis catus (domestic cat). It matches the Rfam family "tRNA". Rfam says of the family: Transfer RNA (tRNA) molecules are approximately 80 nucleotides in length. Their secondary structure includes four short double-helical elements and three loops (D, anti-codon, and T loops). Lineage: Eukaryota; Metazoa; Chordata; Mammalia; Carnivora; Felidae. RNAcentral also lists the same sequence under 5 other names. The record is from Rfam by way of RNAcentral.
UCCUGGCUGGCUCAGUCGGCAGAGCAUGCAACUCUUGAUCUCAGGGUUGUGGGUUCGAGCCCCACGUUGUGGG